GCCAGGUGUGGUGGCGCUUGCCUGUAGUCCCAGCUACUUGGGAGGCUGAGACAGAAGAAUCGCUUGAACCCAGGAGGCAGAGGUUGCAGUGAGCUGAGGUCGUGCCACUGCACUCCAGCCUGGGCGACAAAGCGAGACUCUGUCUCAA
This 148-nucleotide signal recognition particle RNA is filed under the name Gorilla gorilla gorilla (western lowland gorilla). Its description in RNAcentral is "Metazoan signal recognition particle RNA". It matches the Rfam family "Metazoan signal recognition particle RNA". Rfam says of the family: The signal recognition particle (SRP) is a universally conserved ribonucleoprotein. It is involved in the co-translational targeting of proteins to membranes. The record is from Rfam by way of RNAcentral. Lineage: Eukaryota; Metazoa; Chordata; Mammalia; Primates; Hominidae.